AACAGGUCUUCGGAUGCUGACGAGUGGCGAACGGGUGAGUAAUGCAUCGGAACGUGCCCAGAGGUGGGGGAUAACGCAGCGAAAGCUGUGCUAAUACGCAUGUGAUCUGAGGAUGAAAGCGGGGGACCAAGCAGCAAUGUUUGGCCUCGCGCCUCUGGAGCGGCCGAUGUCAGAUUAGGUAGUUGGUGGGGUAAAGGCCUACCAAGCCGACGAUCUGUAGCUGGUCUGAGAGGACGACCAGCCACACUGGGACUGAGACACGGCCCAGACUCCUACGGGAGGCAGCAGUGGGGAAUUUUGGACAAUGGGCGCAAGCCUUGAUCCAGCAAUGCCGCGUGCGGGAAGAAGGCCUUCGGGUUGUAAACCGCUUUUGUACGGAACGAAAAGGCUCUUGGCUAAUACCUGGGGCUGAUGACGGUACCGUAAGAAUAAGCACCGGCUAACUACGUG
Molecule: ribosomal RNA, 450 nt
Filed under: uncultured bacterium
Lineage: Bacteria
Description: bacterial SSU rRNA
Rfam family: Bacterial small subunit ribosomal RNA
Source: RNAcentral